AUUGAACGCUGGCGGCAUGCCUUACACAUGCAAGUCGAACGGUAACAGGUCUUCGGAUGCUGACGAGUGGCGAACGGGUGAGUAAUACAUCGGAACGUGCCUAGUAGUGGGGGAUAACUACUCGAAAGAGUGGCUAAUACCGCAUGAGAUCUACGGAUGAAAGCAGGGGAUCGCAAGACCUUGUGCUACUAGAGCGGCCGAUGGCAGAUUAGGUAGUUGGUGGGAUAAAAGCUUACCAAGCCGACGAGCUGUAGCUGGUCUGAGAGGACGAUCCGCCACCCUGAGACUGAGACACGGCCCAGAGUCCUACGGGAGGCAGCAGUGGGGAAUUUUGGACAAUGGGCGCAAGCCUGAUCCAGCAAUGCCGCGUGCAGGAUGAAGGCCUUCGGGUUGUAAACUGCUUUUGUACGGAACGAAAAGCCCCGGGUUAAUACCCUGGGGUCAUGACGGUACCGUAAGAAUAAGCACCGGCUAACUACGUGCCAGCCGCCGCCGUAA
RNAcentral lists this ribosomal RNA (498 nucleotides) under uncultured bacterium. RNAcentral's name for it is "partial 16S ribosomal RNA". It matches the Rfam family "Bacterial small subunit ribosomal RNA", at positions 30 to 523 of the family's 1533-position model. The record is from RNAcentral.